UAUGAUCUUUGAGAAUUAGAUUGCUUUUAAAAAAACAUUAUGCUGAGCUUUUAUAUAGUAAAGCACCUUAACAAUAAACAUCCUCAGCUAAUAAUGUAUGUGUACUGGUCCGAAAAUUAUCUCCCCUGUCAAACAGGCUAAAGGGAGAUAAUUGUCUAUUCAAUGUUAAUUUUCUAUAAUUAAAUGGUUUGAAAGAAACAUCAUUUAUAAUUCUUAUUAUAAGAAAUAUUAGUCAAAUGUAAAUGUAACGAGUUCUCACUUUGGUUGUUUAUAUAUAUGUGACCCUUUUUAAU
Molecule: long non-coding RNA, 293 nt
Filed under: Mytilus galloprovincialis (Mediterranean mussel)
Lineage: Eukaryota; Metazoa; Mollusca; Bivalvia; Mytilida; Mytilidae
Source: RNAcentral